Molecule: long non-coding RNA, 878 nt
Filed under: Ananas comosus (pineapple)
Lineage: Eukaryota; Viridiplantae; Streptophyta; Magnoliopsida; Poales; Bromeliaceae
Description: long non-coding RNA (ACOM_LNC020337)
Source: RNAcentral
CAGACAUUCAUUUUUUCUUCACAAUUUUAUUUUCAAAGGUUGCACCGUAAAAUUAUCGGUGAGUCGAAGUUCCAAACUAAAGUCGAUUAUCAAUUUCGAGUAAUAUCUAACAUAUAUUUAUAUAUAGAGAGUUGAGCUGGAAUACUAUCGAUAGCAAACGGGCUCCAUUGCCAUCCAUUUGUUUUCGAUGAUGGAGCAUCCAAAUCGACGUUUGGCACCGUUGAAAAUGAUCUAUACCACUUGAAGUACCUAGAAAUCAAAUUUCAUACGUUUCUGAUAUUGUUCUCUUGUUCAUCAAGUGGACAUAAAAAUGAACGGCUGAAAAUGAAUAUCCUCUAAAAAGUGAUGAUAGGAAUUUUGUAAUCAAGAUUGAGAGUAUAAAUCUUGUUCUAAAUAGUUUAAAACAUUUUCUAACCAAAAUCCAAUCAAUUUGGAUAGCUUUACAUUGUUAAACAAGAAAACGUCUCAUAUCUACUAUUAAAAUUAUAAAUUUUGAAACCCUUUGAUCAUUAGGUCAGUGAUGUCGAUCGAAAAAUUUGAAAUUUGGUUUCUAGAUACUUCAAGUGGUAUAGAUCAUGUUCAACGGUGCCGAUCGUCGAUUUGAAGGCUUCAUCAUCAAAAACAAAUUGAUGGCAACGGAGUCUGUUUGCUAUCUAUAACAUUCCAACUCAAUGUAUGACCUAUAAAUAGUAAAAUUAUUUAUUAUUAACUAUUUAAUUAUCACUGACCGUCUUUGGAACAAGUGGCAAAGGGCUUGAUGGUUGGUACCCGAGAUCCAAAUUCGAAUCCUAGUUGAUUCACAUUUUUAGCUAAAUUUAUUUAUAAAUGAAAUAAACGAAGCAAGUAGUGUGCUACCUAUCUCUCUCAAAAAAAAAAAA